GACGAACGCUGGCGGCGUGCUUAACACAUGCAAGUCGAACGGAAAGGCCCUGCUUUUGUGGGGUGCUCGAGUGUCGAACGGGUGAGUAACACGUGAGUAACCUGCCCUUGACUUUGGGAUAACUUCAGGAAACUGGGGCUAAUACCGGAUAGGAGCUCCUGCUGCAUGGUGGGGGUUGGAAAGUUUCGGCGGUUGGGGAUGGACUCGCGGCUUAUCAGCUUGUUGGUGGGGUAGUGGCUUACCAAGGCUUUGACGGGUAGCCGGCCUGAGAGGGUGACCGGCCACAUUGGGACUGAGAUACGGCCCAGACUCCUACGGGAGGCAGAAGUGGGGAAUAUUGCACAAUGGGCGGAAGCCUGAUGCAGCAACGCCGCGUGCGGGAUGACGGCCUUCGGGUUGUAAACCGCUUUCGCCUGUGACGAAGCGUGAGUGACGGUAAUGGGUAAAGAAGCACCGGCUAACUACGUG
Molecule: ribosomal RNA, 468 nt
Filed under: uncultured bacterium
Lineage: Bacteria
Description: partial 16S ribosomal RNA
Rfam family: Bacterial small subunit ribosomal RNA
Source: RNAcentral